CUGGCCCUGCGGUGCGCGUGAUGUUCGGCCCAGUCUUGAGCCAACAGAACUAUGUAGGGAAUCGCCUUCAGCGGGGCAACCCGCCGAGAGGAUGGUACCCACCUGCGCAAGCAGGUUCAAGGCUCGGUCGCACACGGCACAGGCGGGGUUAGC
RNAcentral lists this non-coding RNA (153 nucleotides) under Chloroflexota bacterium. RNAcentral's name for it is "6S RNA". It matches the Rfam family "6S / SsrS RNA". Rfam says of the family: E. coli 6S RNA was the first non coding RNA to be sequenced, but its function was unknown until recently. It consists of 184 nucleotides that fold into an extended hairpin structure with a large single-stranded internal bulge. The record is from RNAcentral. Lineage: Bacteria; Bacillati; Chloroflexota.